Molecule: long non-coding RNA, 1006 nt
Filed under: Brassica rapa (field mustard)
Lineage: Eukaryota; Viridiplantae; Streptophyta; Magnoliopsida; Brassicales; Brassicaceae
Description: long non-coding RNA (BRAP_LNC007754)
Source: RNAcentral
AUGACUGAAGUUGGUCCAUUCCGAAACUAAAGAUGGCUAAAAUUCUUCUUUGUCAAAAUGCAUAGAUAUGAAUCUUAUAUGAAUAUAGUUCUCUAUUGCUUAUAGCAGUGUAAUAAACUCCGUGUGUAAAGGAGAAGAAAUGUUAUAUAAGUGAAAACAAAAUUAUGAUUUUUUUUCUUGUGCCUAUAGGCUCUUCGCAAUUUGAAGAAGAAAGAACAUAUUGUGUGAAAAUCUUUGGUUCGAUCAAAUUUUAUCCAGUUGUUUAUAAAACUGUUGUUAUCUGAUUCAUGUAAUUUUUCAGUGUUGAUUUAAAAGCCCAAAACACCCAUCUAUACUGACUUUUUGAUUUUUUUUUCUGUGAUUUGAAUUUAAAAAGAGAUAAAACUUUCGAUUAGUUAUGUAAACUCAGAACAAGUAUUUAGCUUUAGAAAGCAUUUACAUGUUUCAAACUUAUAAUAUAUACAUAUAUAAUGUUUAAAAUUAUGCAUAUAAAACAUGUGUACAAUGUGCCUGAAAUGUUUAUCUUCUUUAAUGUGUUAAUCGUACUAUAUAUAACAUUAUUUAAAAUUUCAAAAAGUUUAUGUCACAUACAAAAAAUCAUCAAUAAAAAUAUAAUUCUCCAUCUACAACAAGAAAAAUAAAAAAAUAUAAACAUAUAAAUUUAAAUUAAGAAAAACUAACAUUGGAAAAACAAGAAGUUAAUGUAAAAGAAAAAAACUGACAAAUAAUAUUAUAAAUAAAAUAAAUUUAAAAGACACAAUCCGCGCGAAGCGCGGAAAAAAUCUCUAGUGCUAAUAAAAUGUAACUUCAAAAAUUAUUGACAGAUAAACUUGAAUUUAAUGAUUCUCAAAUUGUUUAAUGUAAAAAAAUGAUGCACGUACGUAUGAUUAAAAUUUAAUGAUUCUCAAUUUAUCUUUAAAUCUCUUCAAAUUCAGUCUUAAAAAUGUGGAACUAUAAGGUAUCUCUCCACGUCCAACCCUAAUUAAUUCAACUACAUAUAGUUUCC